GGUAACGGCUUACCAAGGCAACGAUGCAUAGCCGACCUGAGAGGGUGAUCGGCCACACUGGAACUGAGACACGGUCCAGACUCCUACGGGAGGCAGCAGUAGGGAAUCUUCCGCAAUGGGCGAAAGCGUGGGGAUCAAACAGGAUUAGAUACCCUGGUAGUCCACGCCGUAAACGAUGAGUGCUAAGUGUUAGGGGGUUUCCGCCCCUUAGUGCUGCAGCUAACGCAUUAAGCACUCCGCCUGGGG
RNAcentral lists this ribosomal RNA (246 nucleotides) under Staphylococcus sp. EG-SA-8. Its description in RNAcentral is "partial 16S ribosomal RNA". It matches the Rfam family "Bacterial small subunit ribosomal RNA", at positions 256 to 878 of the family's 1533-position model. Lineage: Bacteria; Bacillati; Bacillota; Bacilli; Caryophanales; Staphylococcaceae. The record is from RNAcentral.